RNAcentral lists this long non-coding RNA (1031 nucleotides) under Mus spicilegus (steppe mouse). RNAcentral's name for it is "lncRNA (ENSMSIG00000016241.1)". Lineage: Eukaryota; Metazoa; Chordata; Mammalia; Rodentia; Muridae. The record is from RNAcentral.
GGUGCCCUUACACAGCUCAGCGAACCCUGGAUGCUCCAAGGCCACUGCAGCUCUCCGCAGGCACGCUGGUCUCCUGACUCAGCUUCACCUUCCAGUCCGCACAGAGCUCGGGGGCACCGGCGACAGGGAAGGUCAGAGUCCACAGACUUAUAGCCCACGGCUGAGAAGGGCCUCCAGUCCCAGGGAGUUUUAAAAUGCGGUUCGUGGUAGGGCAUUUCUGAUCAUUCCCUUUCAAGGACAUGAUGCAGCCGAAAGGGAGAAAAAAAGCGCACUUUCUUCGAGGUUUGUGUGGAACAGAGUAGGGAGAAGGGGGGUGGGCAGGGAGGAGGGCACUAAUCAAAGCCAAGUCCGGGGCGGCGUGGCGAGCGUCUCGGAGGUAGUGGAGUGUAAACGCGGGCGGGAUCCACGUAGGGCUGCUCCCACGGGGGUCUCCGCAAGAUCGCGCGCAGGCGUGGGGACCGCGGCCGGGUGGGUCCCCACGCACUCUGCCCCGACCGACCCGCGCCCCCCUGCGCGUCACCGCCAGCCCUGCCUCCGCGCGCCUCCUCCUGCUCCACCUCCCCGGCGCGGCGCGGUCCGGCUCGGGGGCCGGAGGAGCUUGGGCGGGAGGAGCACUCCGUAGGCCCGGGAGCUCGGCGGGCCCUCGGCGCGGGGGAGCCACGUCGCUGCGCUGCGAGCUUGGCUCGGAGAAGAGGGCGUGGAGAGCUCUGGGAAGUCCUCGGGUCCGGGCCCAACAGAAAGGAGGCCAGGAGAGACCUUGUCCCAGGUCGGAUGUGCCCGAAAGGGAAAGGACCCGCAGGUUACUUUUGCCAGCCACUUUGGAUUGAUGCGGCACUUUUCACUGUCGUACAGCACUGCUUGCCAAACAGGUAAAUAAUGCCUGCAGUGGCUUUGCUUAUAAACCCGGUCGUCAUGUAAUCCGGGUGUGCUCAGGCCAUUUUGCGUUUAGAAGUAAUUGGUCUGGUCUUUCAGUGUCCUUAAUUACCUCUGCGUCCCGUGUUCAGCCUCAGCUGAAACUUGUUGAAAAUUAU